RNAcentral lists this transfer RNA (75 nucleotides) under Clostridia bacterium. Its description in RNAcentral is "tRNA-Val". It matches the Rfam family "tRNA". From Rfam's summary of the family: Transfer RNA (tRNA) molecules are approximately 80 nucleotides in length. Lineage: Bacteria; Bacillati; Bacillota; Clostridia. The record is from RNAcentral.
GGGUCGGUAGCUCAGGGGGAGAGCACCUCGUUGACGCCGAGGGGGUCAGGUGUUCAAAUCACCUCCGACCCACCA